AUGCUAUUUCUGACUUCUGGUAAGUUUAGAGCUACUUUUCAGAAUGCCUUUCUUCAUAGGAGUCAAAAAGUAACUCAUGUUAAGUUUUGCCAACAUAUAAAAGAACACACAAGUAGCAACGAUUUCAAACAACUCAGAUAUUACAGGUGCGCAUGCAGCGCAAAACAUAUCAUCCUUUCCUCUAUACAGUUUAUGCCCAACACUCUUGUGAUCAUAUUGUGCUUAUUCACUAUAUGCUUUAUUCCAAGAUAUCCGCAAGCAAGCAAGCUGACACUCCUACAAAAACGCCAGGAUCGGCAAAACUAA
Molecule: ribosomal RNA, 306 nt
Filed under: Triticum aestivum (bread wheat)
Lineage: Eukaryota; Viridiplantae; Streptophyta; Magnoliopsida; Poales; Poaceae
Description: partial small subunit ribosomal RNA
Source: RNAcentral